RNAcentral lists this ribosomal RNA (722 nucleotides) under uncultured marine bacterium. RNAcentral's name for it is "bacterial SSU rRNA". It matches the Rfam family "Bacterial small subunit ribosomal RNA", at positions 57 to 824 of the family's 1533-position model. The record is from RNAcentral.
GCAAGUCGAACGGAGUAGCAAUACUUAGUGGCAGACGGGUGAGUAACAUGUAGGUAUCUGCCCUUUGGCCUGGAAUAACACGAGGAAACUUGUGCUAAUACCGGAUAAGUCUUUACGGAGAAAGCUUUAUGCACCAUUGGAUGAGCCUGCACUUGAUUAGUUUGUUGGUGGGGUAAUGGCCUACCAAGACUGUGAUCAAUAGCUGAUUUGAGAGGAUGAUCAGCCACAUUGGGACUGAGACACGGCCCAAACUCCUACGGGAGGCAGCAGUGGGGAAUCUUGCACAAUGGAGGAAACUCUGAUGCAGCGAUGCCGCGUGAGUGAAGUAGGCCCUUGGGUUGUAAAGCUCCUUCGUCGGGGAAGAAAAUGACUGUACCCGAAUAAGAAGGUCCGGCUAACUUCGUGCCAGCAGCCGCGGUAAUACGAAGGGACCUAGCGUAGUUCGGAAUUACUGGGCUUAAAGAGUUCGUAGGUGGUUGAAAAAGUUAGUGGUGAAAUCCCAGAGCUUAACUCUGGAACUGCCAUUAAAACUUUUCAGCUAGAGUGUGAUAGAGGAAAGCAGAAUUUCUAGUGUAGAGGUGAAAUUCGUAAAUAUUAGAAAGAAUACCAAUUGCGAAGGCAGCUUUCUGGAUCAUUACUGACACUGAGGAACGAAAGCAUGGGUAGCGAAGAGGAUUAGAUACCCUCGUAGUCCAUGCCGUAAACGAUGUGUGUUAGACGUU